GAUGAAGAACGUAGCAAAGUGCGAUAACUAGUGUGAAUUGCAUAUUCAGUGAAUCAUCGAGUCUUUGAACGCAUCUUGCACCUGCUGGUAUUCCAGCAGGUACGCCUGUUUCAGUAUCAGAAACAACUCUUCCCCUACGAUUUUUUUGAAUCAUAGGGGGACAUUGAGGGUAUCUGGCUUAGAAGUAAAAUCUCUAGCCCGGAGACGCUUUAAAUGACUUAAGGCCUGCAAGCCAAAGUUUGAUUGCGCCUGAACUUUUUCUUAAUUUCAAGCGAAAGCUCUUGCGAACUAGAACUUUAUUAUUGCCUUGGGGGCCUCCCAAAGAAAACUUUCAACAACUUGAUCUGAAAUCAGGUGGGAUUACCCGCUGAACUUAAGCAUAUCAAUAAGCGGAGGA
Molecule: unclassified non-coding RNA, 397 nt
Filed under: soil metagenome
Description: partial contains 5.8S ribosomal RNA, internal transcribed spacer 2, and large subunit ribosomal RNA
Rfam family: 5.8S ribosomal RNA (bases 1-119)
Source: RNAcentral